Perognathus longimembris pacificus (Pacific pocket mouse) is the source of this 145-nucleotide long non-coding RNA. RefSeq lists it as uncharacterized. The transcript has 3 exons. Lineage: Eukaryota; Metazoa; Chordata; Mammalia; Rodentia; Heteromyidae. The record is from RefSeq and is a predicted model, not a curated record.
UGGUCUUCCGAUCUAGAGAAUCUACAGUCACCCUGGAGCUUUUGCUUCUUCUCUGCCCAGCCUGCUAGGCCAACAGAUCAGAAUUUUUUCCUUCUAUUUCCAUAGGAAUCAAUGCUCGAUUGUCAGCUUGUCAAGCCUAAUGGUC